AAAUAGAUACCCAGGUAGUCCACGCCCUAAACGAUGUCAACUGGUUGUCGGGGAAGCAAUUCCUUGGUAACGAAGCUAACGCGUGAAGUUGACCGCCUGGGGAGUACGGCCGCAAGGUUAAACUCAAAGGAAUUGACGGGGACCCGCACAAGCGGUGGAUUAUGUGGAUUAAUUCGAUGCAACGCGAAAAACCUUACCUACCCUUGACAUGUACGGAACCUCGCAGAGAUGUGAGGGUGCCCGAAAGGGAGCCGUAACACAGGUGCUGCAUGGCUGUCGUCAGCUCGUGUCGUGAGAUGUUGGGUUAAGUCCCGCAACGAGCGCAACCCUUGUCAUUAGUUGCUACAUUCAGUUGGGCACUCUAAUGAGACUGCCGGUGACAAACCGGAGGAAGGUGGGGAUGACGUCAAGUCCUCAUGGCCCUUAUGGGUAGGGCUUCACACGUAAUACAAUGGCCGGUACAGAGGGCUGCCAACCCGGCGAGGGGGGAGCUAAUCCCAGAAAGCCGGUCGUAGUCCGGAUUGUUCUCUGCAACUCGAGAACAUGAAGUCGG
This 553-nucleotide ribosomal RNA is filed under the name uncultured bacterium. RNAcentral's name for it is "bacterial SSU rRNA". It matches the Rfam family "Bacterial small subunit ribosomal RNA", at positions 776 to 1329 of the family's 1533-position model. The record is from RNAcentral.